AAGGAUUUAAGUUAAUUAAACUUUUAACCUUCAAAGUUAACAAUAGAUUUUAUCUAAGCCUUA
This 63-nucleotide transfer RNA is filed under the name Longitarsus dorsalis. RNAcentral's name for it is "tRNA-Trp". Lineage: Eukaryota; Metazoa; Arthropoda; Insecta; Coleoptera; Chrysomelidae. The record is from RNAcentral. RNAcentral also lists the same sequence under 4 other names.